AGUGCCCUAAGACACUUGACCAAAACACAGUGUGGGUCGGCCAUGUGACAACCAUGCUGCCUCAGAGCAUGUGAGGGAGACAAGACUUCCCACUGGGAAACUGAGGAACAAGGCAGCAGGGUACCAUUCUACAAGGAAAGGUGAUGUUCAUUCAGAGGAUCCAGAAUGGGAGGCAUCAGAAAUGCCAGAUCAGCUGGGAAUGGCACCGCCCACUGUGGGCUGGGCCCUCCGCAUCAAUCAGCACUCUAGACAAUGCCCCCCCCCCCAAAGACACGCCCACAGGACAAUCUGACUGAGGCAAUUCUUCAUUUGAGGUUCCCUCUUCCCAGUAUCCUGGAUGAACCCAAACUAUCAAGUAAACAAUCCAAGGCUUUGGACCAAAAGUGACUGAGCAAGUCAAUCAUUUCUUCCCUCAAGCUCUGGCAUCUUAUCCACACUUUAUAGAGAUAGACCAUUUGGAUAUAAACUGAACAUUCCUCAAAGGUGUGUCUGGAAGCAGAUGGAAUGCAUAUCAGGGUCUAUAGAGAGGAUGCUGGGUUCCUGGAAGGGAAUACUGCUCUCCUGAAGUGACCAUCAAGAGGAGUACCUCUUGAUAAGCUGGUUCCAGACAAGUGAUUGGACAUCACUGGCUCUGUGGCAUGCUACAGCCAACACAUAAUGCUACUGUAAUCUGUACACUACCAUGCUACAGCCAGCAGAUAAUGCAACUGUGAUCUGCUACACUACCAUGCUACAGCCAACAGAUAAUGUAACUGUGAUCUACUAUACUACCAUGCUAUAGCCAACAGGUAAUGCAACUGUGAUCUGCUACACUACCAUGCCACAGCCAACAGACAAUCCAACUGUGAUCUGUACACUACCAUGCUGCUGAGAUGGUACAUGAAACAGAAGAAAGACGAAAGGCAGAUAUUGUGGCAACUGGCAGGAUCCCACUGCAGGGAGGAAAAAUACAAGUGUUAAUCAGAAGUAAAUGUCAAAGAUUAGU
Mesocricetus auratus (golden hamster) is the source of this 985-nucleotide long non-coding RNA. RefSeq lists it as uncharacterized. The record is from RefSeq and is a predicted model, not a curated record. Lineage: Eukaryota; Metazoa; Chordata; Mammalia; Rodentia; Cricetidae. The transcript is spliced from 4 exons.